GAGUUUGAUCCUGGCUCAGAUUGAACGCUGGCGGCAUGCCUAACACAUGCAAGUCGAACGGCAGCACUGGGAGCUUGCUCCCUGGUGGCGAGUGGCGGACGGGUGAGUAACGCGUAGGAAUCUGCCUCAUAGCGGGGGACAACUCGGGAAACUCGAGCUAAUACCGCAUACUACUCGAGAGAGGAAAGCAGGGGACCGUUCGGGCCGUUGCACUAUGAGAUGAGCCUGCGUUGGAUUA
RNAcentral lists this ribosomal RNA (238 nucleotides) under uncultured microorganism. RNAcentral describes it as "partial 16S ribosomal RNA". It matches the Rfam family "Bacterial small subunit ribosomal RNA", at positions 9 to 243 of the family's 1533-position model. The record is from RNAcentral.